GAUGAACGCUGGCGGCGUGCCUAAUACAUGCAAGUCGAGCGACAGACGAGGAGCUUGCUCCUUCGACGUUAGCGGCGGACGGGUGAGUAACACGUAGGUAACCUACCUAUAAGACUGGGAUAACUUCGGGAAACCGGAGCUAAUACCGGAUAAUAUUUCGAACCGCAUGGUUCGAUAGUGAAAGAUGGCUUUGCUAUCACUUAUAGAUGGACCUGCGCCGUAUUAGCUAGUUGGUAAGGUAACGGCUUACCAAGGCAACGAUACGUAGCCGACCUGAGAGGGUGAUCGGCCACACUGGAACUGAGACACGGUCCAGACUCCUACGGGAGGCAGCAGUAGGGAAUCUUCCGCAAUGGGCGAAAGCCUGACGGAGCAACGCCGCGUGAGUGAUGAAGGUCUUCGGAUCGUAAAACUCUGUUAUUAGGGAAGAACAAACGUGUAAGUAACUGUGCACGUCUUGACGGUACCUAAUCAGAAAGCCACGGCUAACUACGUG
Molecule: ribosomal RNA, 496 nt
Filed under: uncultured bacterium
Lineage: Bacteria
Description: partial 16S ribosomal RNA
Rfam family: Bacterial small subunit ribosomal RNA
Source: RNAcentral